This 237-nucleotide ribosomal RNA is filed under the name uncultured Marinobacter sp. RNAcentral describes it as "partial 16S ribosomal RNA". It matches the Rfam family "Bacterial small subunit ribosomal RNA", at positions 1146 to 1382 of the family's 1533-position model. The record is from RNAcentral. Lineage: Bacteria; Pseudomonadati; Pseudomonadota; Gammaproteobacteria; Pseudomonadales; Marinobacteraceae.
AGACUGCCGGUGGACAAACCGGAGGAAGGUGGGGAUGACGUCAGGUCAUCAUGGCCUUACGGCCAGGGCUACACACGUGCUACAAUGGCGCGCACAGAGGGCUGCAAACCCGCGAGGGGGAGCUAAUCUCACAAAACGCGUCGUAGUCCGGAUCGCAGUCUGCAACUCGACUGCGUGAAGUCGGAAUCGCUAGUAAUCGUGAAUCAGAAUGUCACGGUGAAUACGUUCCCGGGCCUU